This 253-nucleotide ribosomal RNA is filed under the name uncultured bacterium. Its description in RNAcentral is "partial 16S ribosomal RNA". It matches the Rfam family "Bacterial small subunit ribosomal RNA", at positions 524 to 776 of the family's 1533-position model. The record is from RNAcentral.
GACAGAGGGUGCGAGUGUUAAUCGGAAUGAUUGGGCGUAAAGGGCGCGUAGGUGGCUCAACAGGUUUAAUGUUAAAGACCCAGGCUUAACCUGGGGGAUGCGUUGAAAACGGUUGAGCUCGAGUGAGAGAGAGGGUUGUGGAAUUUCUAGUGGAGCGGUGAAAUGCGUAGAGAUUAGAAGGAACACCAGUGGCGAAGGCGGCAACCUGGCUCUUAACUGACACUGAGGCGCGAAGGCGUGGGGAGCAAACAGG